This 794-nucleotide ribosomal RNA is filed under the name uncultured Pseudomonadota bacterium. RNAcentral's name for it is "bacterial SSU rRNA". It matches the Rfam family "Bacterial small subunit ribosomal RNA", at positions 60 to 873 of the family's 1533-position model. The record is from RNAcentral. Lineage: Bacteria; Pseudomonadati; Pseudomonadota.
AGUCGAGUGCGCGGUUGUAGCAAUACAACUGGCGCACGGCGCACGGGUGCGUAACACGUGGGUAACCUGCCCUUUGGUGGGGAAUAACUCCGCGAAAGCGGAGCUAAUUCCGCAUAAGAUCCGCAAGGAUGAAAGCCGCAAGGCGCCGAAGGAGGGGCCCGCGCCCGAUUAGCUAGUUGGUAGGGUAACGGCCUACCAAGGCUUUGAUCGGUAGCUGGUCUGAGAGGAUGAUCAGCCACACUGGAACUGAGACACGGUCCAGACUCCUACGGGAGGCAGCAGUGGGGAAUCUUGCACAAUGGGCGAAAGCCUGAUGCAGCGACGCCGCGUGGGGGAUGAAGCAUUUCGGUGUGUAAACCCCUUUCGAUCCGGACGAAACCCCGCAAGGGAUUGACGGUACGGAUAUAAGAAGCCCCGGCUGACUACGUGCCAGCAGCCGCGGUAAGACGUAGGGGGCCAGCGUUGUUCGGAAUUACUGGGUGUAAAGGGCUCGUAGGCGGUGCGGCAAGUUGGGAGUGAAAUCUCUGGGCUUAACCCAGAGGCUGCUUCCAAAACUGCUGUGCUUGAGUGUGGGAGAGGCGCGUGGAAUUGCAGGUGUAGCGGUGAAAUGCGUAGAUAUCUGCAGGAACACCCGUGGCGAAAGCGGCGCGCUGGACCACUACUGACGCUGAGGAACGAAAGCUAGGGGAGCAAACAGGAUUAGAUACCCUGGUAGUCCUAGCCCUAAACGAUCAGGACUUGGGGUGCCACCCGUUCGGGUGUCGUCCCGGAGCUAACGCGUUAAGUCCUGCACC